GGCCUCUCAGCUCCGUUUAAUCACACAGGUCCAGUGUGUGGUUGGCCUGUUUUCUGGGAGGCAGAGGAAGGCUUUCCUAAUUACAAGAGACCUGCCCAGAAUGGCCUCUCCAUUUCUAGGAGUAUGAUCGCU
Cercocebus atys (sooty mangabey) is the source of this 132-nucleotide small nucleolar RNA. Lineage: Eukaryota; Metazoa; Chordata; Mammalia; Primates; Cercopithecidae. The record is from Ensembl.